AUGGGUACCUCAAGAAAAGCUACAAGUAGUGGGUCUGGUUAGAACUGUAGAAACAAAAUACAAAGGGCAAAGCCUAACCCCUUAACGGAAUUUUGAACAAAUGGGUUUUGCCGCCAUCGCAUCCGCACCCACCACCAUUCAACUCCCUCCACACUCCAACACCAGAGCAGUGCCGCCACCGUCACACCUAACCCAACAUCAAAAUCAAGCCCAACGUGUUAAUCCCAUCUCGAAACCUAAUUUCCCCCUUAAACAGCAAUCCAGUAAGCAGAUUGACCCAGUGGUUGCAUGGACCGACUCCAUUUCCCGCCACUGCCGUAAUGGCCAGCUGCCCGAAGCCGCCUCACAAUUCACCCAAAUGCUUCUCUCUGGCGUUGAACCUAAUCACAUCACAUUCACGACUCUUCUGUCUGGCUGUGCGGAUUUUCCCUCAGAAGGCAAAUCUUUUGGCCCUUUGAUUCACUCAUAUGCACGGAAACUGGGCUUUGAUACGUGUAAUGUGAUGGUGGGUACUGCUCUUGUGGACAUGUAUGCUAAGUGUGGUCAGGUAGAACUAGCAAGAUUCUGCUUUUAUGAGCUAAAGAUCAAGAAUUCAGUGUCUUGGAACACAAUGAUGGAUGGGUACAUGAGGAAUGGGGAGAUAGCAGAUGCGAUUGAGUUGUUCGAUGAAAUGCCUGAGAGGGAUGCGAUUUCUUGGACCGUGUUCAUUGAUGGAUUUGUUAAGAGGGGUCAUUUUGAGCAAGGAUUGGAAUGGUUUAGAGAAAUGCAGGUUUCUAUGGUGCAGCCUGACUAUGUAACCAUUAUUGCAGUUCUCUCUGCCUGCGCAAAUUUGGGUGCCCUUGGUUUAGGCAUGUGGAUACAUCGAUAUGUGUUGAAGCAAGAGUUUAGGGACAAUAUUAGGAUAAGCAAUUCAUUGAUUGUUAUGUAUUCUCGAUGUGGAUGCAUUGAAUUAGCACGUCAAGUGUUUCACAAAAUGUUGAAGAGAACAUUGGUUUCAUGGAACUCCAUUAUUGUGGGCCUUGCUGCCAAUGGGUUGGCAGAGGAAGCAUUAGAGUACUUUGUGUUGAUGCAGAAAGAAGAAUUCAAACCAGACGGAGUCAGUUUCACUGGAGCACUUACUGCUUGUAGCCAUGCUGGUUUGGUGGAUAAAGGGCUCAAAUAUUUUGAUGUCAUGGAGAAAGUUUACAAACUAUCUCCUACAAUUGAACACUAUGGAUGCAUAGUAGAUCUUUACAGCCGUGCUGGGAAGUUAGAAGAUGCUUGGAGUGUAAUAGAAAAUAUGGCCAUGAAGCCAAAUGAAGUUAUCCUGGGAUCAUUGUUGGCUGCUUGUAGAACUGGUGGAGAUGUUGAUUUAGCUGAAAGGUUAAUGAAGUAUCUUACUGAUUUGGAUCCCGGUAUUGACUCCAAUUUCGUGCUGCUUGCAAAUAUAUAUGCAGCGGUUGGAAGAUGGGAUGGGGCAGGCAAGGUCAGGAGGAAAAUGAAGGCACUUGGUAUACAAAAGAAGCCGGGGAUUAGUUCAAUUGAGAUUGGAUGUGGCAUUCAUGAAUUUGUGGCUGGUGAUAAAUCUCACAUCGAAACUGAGCAUAUUUAUGAAAUGCUACAGCUUUUAAACCAUGAUCUGAAAUUACGUGGCUAUGUUCCUGAAACCAUGGUAACUGAUGUGUAUGGAAAUGAUUGAAAUACUGUCAAUGUCUCACUGAGCUAGGAAGAAAAUUCUAUUAAUAUUUGUUCUGUUAAUAGGGAAUAUAUUAAUAUUUAUGGGUUCACCUGAG
This 1772-nucleotide unclassified non-coding RNA is filed under the name Hevea brasiliensis (rubber tree). The record is from RNAcentral. Lineage: Eukaryota; Viridiplantae; Streptophyta; Magnoliopsida; Malpighiales; Euphorbiaceae.